UACGGGGGGAGCAAGCGUUGUUCGGAUUUACUGGGCGUAAAGGGCGCGUAGGCGGCCAGCACAAGUCGGUUGUGAAAUCUCCGGGCUUAACUCGGAAAGGUCAACUGAUACUGUGCGGCUAGAGUGCGGAAGGGGCAACUGGAAUUCUUGGUGUAGCGGUGAAAUGCGUAGAUAUCAAGAGGAACACCUGCGGCGAAGGCGGGUUGCUGGGCCGACACUGACGCUGAGGCGCGAAAGCCAGGGGAGCGAACGGG
This 254-nucleotide ribosomal RNA is filed under the name uncultured bacterium. RNAcentral describes it as "partial 16S ribosomal RNA". It matches the Rfam family "Bacterial small subunit ribosomal RNA", at positions 524 to 776 of the family's 1533-position model. The record is from RNAcentral.